RNAcentral lists this long non-coding RNA (996 nucleotides) under Homo sapiens (human). RNAcentral describes it as "long intergenic non-protein coding RNA 1102". Lineage: Eukaryota; Metazoa; Chordata; Mammalia; Primates; Hominidae. The record is from RNAcentral.
GAGUAGCUGGGAUUACAGGCACCCGCCAUCAUGUCCAGCUAAUUUUUGUAUAUUUGUAGAGACGGGGUUUCACCAUGUUGGCCAGACUGGUCUUGAACUCCUGACCUCAGACGAGGGAACUGAGCUGUCAAAACUAAGUGACUUGAUUGAGGCCAUGCAGCUGGCGAGGGGAGGACCAGGAUCUGAACCCAACUGGGUCUCCCAAGCCUGGGCCACUGAACCAUUUCACCUCUUGGAAAAACUUAAUGGUCAGAGUGGCCCACCCAGUCCAUGGACAGCAUGGAGGAUAAACUGCUUCCCUAGAAAUCCUCUCCAGCAUUCUUGCCACCACGACUUUGGGACACAUUGACCAUGAGGAGGAGCUGGUCAAUGAUGGACAGGAGUCCAGAUUAGCAGAGAUGUGGUAAUAAGGACACCGAUGCCUAAAUACUUGAAAUAUCCAAUAGGAAGCAUUCCACCUUUGUGCAAAUGCGAACCACAUCUCACCAAGUUCAGGCCAAGGCUGCCACCGGUGACGUUUUGGAAAAGAAAAAAAAAAGCGGGGGGAGAGGAGAGAAACAGAGAAGCAAGGAAUGCAGAAGAGAGCAGAGGCCACAAAAACAGCAGCAACGUGUCCUGUGUAUUCUGUUUCCUUGUAAAACUAUGAAGCAUGUUAAGGAGAUACUUCAUUUUUUGAGGAUUCAUACUCUUGUUUAUAUUAUAAUAAAAACAACCCAUGUUCUUUCUAAAAAUUUAGGCAAUGCCUUCGUGCACAUAAAAGUAAAACAAAAUCACCUGUAAUCCUACCACACGCAGAUCAGCACUUGCUAAUCUUUUCACAGGGAUCCUAAGAAUAUCCUAUUCUCUAUAGAAUAUAGUUGAUUUAUGUUACCUAAUAACUAACUGUUAACCAUUUUAAAAUUCUUCAGUUUUACAUUAUGCUAGAAAAAAGGAGCCGUCACUCUACGUGACAUUUCUGUAUAUUGGUUUAUUCAUUCAAUAAACAUUUUUUAAGUA